Oncorhynchus keta (chum salmon) is the source of this 1065-nucleotide long non-coding RNA. RefSeq lists it as uncharacterized. The transcript has 8 exons. NCBI's taxonomy places the organism in Eukaryota, Metazoa, Chordata, Actinopteri, Salmoniformes, Salmonidae. The record is from RefSeq and is a predicted model, not a curated record.
AGAGUCCUGGGGAACAGACACAUUAUAAUACAGACACUCACUGUAGAGGUCCUUAGAGUCCUGGGGAACAGACACAUUAUAAUACAGACACUCACUGUAGAGGUCCUUAGAGUCCUGGGGAACAGACACAUUAUAAUACAGACACUCACUGUAGAGGUCCUUAGAGUCCUGGGGAACAGACACAUUAUAAUACAGACACUCACUGUAGAGGUCCUUAGAGUCCUGGGGAACAGACACAUUAUAAUACAGACACUCACUGUAGAGGUCCUUAGAGUCCUGGGGAACAGACACAUUAUAAUACAGACACUCACUGUAGAGGUCCUUAGAGUCCUGGGGAACAGACACAUUAUAAUACAGACACUCACUGUAGAGGUCCUUAGAGUCCUGGGGAACAGACACAUUAUAAUACAGACACAUUAUAAUACAGACACUCACUGUAGAGGUCCUUAGAGUCCUGGGGAACAGACACAUUAUAAUACAGACACUCACUGUAGAGGUCCUUAGAGUCCUGGGGAACAGACACAUUAUAAUACAGACACUCACUGUAGAGGUCCUUAGAGUCCUGGGGAACAGACACAUUAUAAUACAGACACAUUAUAAUACAGACACUCACUGUAGAGGUCCUUAGAGUCCUGGGGAACAGACACAUUAUAAUACAGACACUCACUGUAGAGGUCCUUAGAGUCCUGGGGAACAGACACAUUAUAAUACAGACACAUUAUAAUACAGACACUCACUGUAGAGGUCCUUAGAGUCCUGGGGAACAGACACAUUAUAAUACAGACACAUUAUAAUACAGACACUCACUGUAGAGGUCCUUAGAGUCCUGGGGAACAGACACAUUAUAAUACAGACACUCACUGUAGAGGUCCUUAAGAGUCCUGGGGAACAGACACAUUAUAAUACAGACACUACAGGUCCUUAGGUGUGAAUCACUAAAUUUACCAGCUAACUUUGACAAACAUUCAGACAACGUGAUAAUCUACUUCCUCGCGGCACAACGCCUCAUGGCACAACGCCUCUCGGCACAACGCCUCAUGGCACAACGCCUCACGGCACAACGCC